Anopheles stephensi (Asian malaria mosquito) is the source of this 6606-nucleotide RNA transcript. It is a transcript of the gene named probable serine/threonine-protein kinase kinX, with no coding region annotated. The record is from RefSeq and is a predicted model, not a curated record. The transcript has 15 exons. Lineage: Eukaryota; Metazoa; Arthropoda; Insecta; Diptera; Culicidae.
UUGUGCUUCUCGAUAUGCUAUUGCCGUUGUAGUUAUAGAUACUGAAAGGGGUUGUGUGCAUGCUUUGCUCUUCUUGCGCUAGUGAAACUUCUUGCUGUGUUAGUUGCUCAGAAAGCCGGCUUUUCCAAAUAGUUUUGCUGUUUGAAAAUAUUUACCUUAUUCCGUUAGAGCCAACUCCAAAAAGUACAUUUUCCAUUGCUCGAAAUACACACCUGACGGAACGGAAUACUGGUCUGACAGUCAAAAUAUAAAUAAAAGACCCAUCCCUCGGUUCGUGGCUGCGUGCGCAUCCGUCUCUGGCUUGGAGACCGAGUCGGUCCGCGAACCGAUACCGAGGACACGGAUUUUGAACCCAAGCGGCCAGUCAGUCAGUUGCAAACCGACGGUAACCGAGUGCGGUACGGCACAAACAUUCUCUACCAGAGUGAUUAUUUCAGCAGCAUCCGGCGGUCCAGCUGAAAGUGUGAGCGCGUACGUGACAAAGUGUUGUGAUAAGAAGUGAUCGAAAGCUAUCGCCGAGCGGAAGGGAACGCCUAAGAGCGUGUAGCGAAACAGAAUGUCUGGCGACACGCAGCCCAAGAAGCGGAAGGACAAAAAGAGGAAGAAAGAUGAUGAAGAUACGGUUAAGGAAACAACGGUCCAUGCCCCGAAGCAACCGUCCGCUGGGGCCGCUCAAGCAGCGAAAGAACCGGGCGACAUCCAAAUGCACAUCCACAGCGAUCACGGUACCGGCGGCCACUGGUGUGCGAAGGUCGUCUUCUUUAUCCUGCUGGCCGGGCUGGGCGCACUGAUCGGACUGAUCCUGAUGGAAAGUCAGGGCGUCUCGAACGACGAUACGCCACUGUCGGAAUCACGGUACUCCGAAUUCUUCAACGGUUGGGUCGACGAAACACGGCAGGACGAGCAUCAUCACGAUGAAAUCCUGGCCGCCAUUAACUCGCUGGAAGAUCAUGACGAUGGUGAGGCACAGCAUGCCGUCGACGAUCACGACGAUGGAGAUGAUGAUGGACACGAUCAGGAUGGCGAUGACGAGCACGACGAUGGUGCGCCGUACGCAGAGGAAGAAGAUCACGAUGACGAUGAGGAGGGUACGGACGUGCAGGAUGAUGAUGAGGAUGAAGGACCGGCGCAAAAGCUGGAUGAUGAUGAGGUGGAGGAGAUCUUUACCCAGCAGGAAGCAGGCGCACAACAAGAGGCUGCCGCUGCGGCUGAAGAUGACGAUAACGAUGAUGAUGAGGAUGAGGAUGAGGAUGGCGAUGGCCAGGACGACGACGACGAUGAUGAAGCCGGUGCCAACGAUAACACUAACGUUGUUGUCGAUGAUGAUAAUGAUGAUGAUGAUGAUGGCGGUGACGAUGAUAAGAAUGAAGAUACAACUGACGUACAAGAUAACGAUGAUGAUAACGACGAAGACGACAAAAAUGACAAUGAUCAGGAUGACGCCGAUGACAAUGAUGGUAAAGAGGAUGUCGAUGGUGAUGACGAUGUAUUGACAAAUAUUAAACCAGAAAAGAACGACGACAAUGACAAUGAUGAUGAUGAGGAGGAUGAAAAUGUAACAGCUGCUACGGAAAAGGAUGGUGAAGAUGAUGAUGAUGAUUUUGAAGUAGAUAAUGAGGAAAGCAAUGCUGAAUCCGCCGUAAAGACCGAUGCAGCUGGAAAUACUAACGUCGCGGAUGGUGACGAUGAUGAUGACGACGAUCAGGAUGACACACUAUUUGAUGAAGAUCAAUCUAAUGCUUUGAAUGAUAGCUCUAACCAAAGUUUGCCAGCACCGCUUGAACAUAGCUUUACCGAGGGCGACAUUCUGAAACGUUCCGCGCAAAACUCCAGAACCUCAGAAGCAGACGAUCCGGCACGGAAACAGGCUUCAUCACCAACCACGCCCUCAGCCGACGAGACUGUUACGGGUGACACGUUGAAAGAUCAGAUGGAUGAGUUGGUACGAAAUUAUAACAAGCUUGCGGAGUCGUUGAAUGUGCCAAAAGUUGAAGUUCAAGAGGCGGUUGGCGUGCAGGACGCGGAUGACGAUGGUGAUGAGGCAGAAAUUGAAGAAGUAACCCGUGGAUCUCAACCAGCAGACGAUGACGAUGAUGAGGCUUUCGGUGAACUCGUUGACAACGAUGAAGGAGAGGAAGAAUAUUUGGAGAAGGUGCGCACCGAACAGCAGCGCCGUGCAGCAGCCGAAGAAGAGCGCCGUGCCGCUGCCGAACCGGUAGAGGAAUCCUCACUUACCGUAAAAAUCUUUGUCGGUGUCGCACUGCUCGGCGCUGCGCAUCUACUCUUAACUAGUCCGCGUGCUCCUACUACGAAAAAAGCAACAAAUCAAACAGACGAAACGACACGAACGGCGGCAAGUGUUCCCGUCAUCAGCGAACCAGCACCACUUAAUCGUUCCGCCGAACAACGCCAAGCGCUAAACGCUUCGCCAACCGCAACGGUGUUGGAUGAUUUUCUUUAUGCUGGCCCACCGGAUCAAUUGCAAUCGGAAAAGGAUCAAGGGAUCGAAGGAAAUGUGAUCCUAUUUGACGAGAACGAUGAUGCCGAACGAUACUCAGGCGAUGAGUACGAGUACGAACUGGAAGAACUGGAGGAAGAAGCCGAACCCGAAGAGGUUGACGAAGAGGAAGAAAAGCAGCUCAUUAAGCAGGAGCAAGAAAUCGGUGCCUUUGUACCGAUUACGUUUGAAGAUUUUAACUCCAUGUACCGAGUGCCCACAGAAGUGGCUGAUGCUGAUGUGCCGAUGGCCGCCCGACAGCAGGAAGCAGAAAUCCCUGUUCCCUCACCAACAAUCGAACGAUCCUCGUCGAAACGGGGGACGAAAGACUCACUGCUGGCACGCAAAAAACCACCCAAAGGUGCCUUUAACAAGCUCAUAUAUAUAACAAGUCUGCAUAAAGAUCCAAUCGUUAUACCGUUGGACGAACCGGAAUCCACGAUCCGGGCGGCAGCAAGUGAAAACGUAAGUGCGAAGGUUGAGGCAAAGUCCGUCCUGACGGCAUUGCUUUCGGAAAUCCCAUCACCACCGAUCGAGCCCGAUCAUGCAUUCGUUACGCUUGUCCCCACCGGAUCCACCACACCCUCAACAUCGGUUGUACUACCGUCGGCCCCGAGCACUGGGGUAGCUCAGCCGGCGGUGAAAGCGAAGCACGUCGAAUUUCUGCUACCCGAGCGGGAUGACGAGCCGGAGUCAGAGCGUACCUCAUCACCCCUGCCGGUGAGCGAUAAUGGUAGCAAGGAGAACCUGUUCAUACCGCAGGACACCAGCGAGGAAGAGCUCGAACCGAACGAAUACGGUGAGGAAGAGUACGGCGAGUACGCGCAGGAGGAGGAGGACGAGCUUGUGUACGAGGACGAGGAGAUCGACGAUAUUGAGUCGGUGCUGCUGAAUCAGUACGGUUCGGACGAGGAGGAAGAACCGCUGACAGACGACAACAUUCCGCCGGGCGGCGAUGAAGAGGAAGCGUCCGACGUCGACGAUUCCGACCUGAUGCGACGGUUGGAGGAGAAGUACGGCAAGCUGCCGGCUGCCACCACCGAAGCCGCACCCGCAGCAGACGGUAACGGCGACGAUGAGGAGGCGGCUGCUGCAGGCUGGACAAAAAUCCCCUCGAGGGCUGAAGAGGCUGAUCGGUCCUAUCAGGAAGAGCUAAGAAGAGCUGAGCAGCAACUCGACGAGGAAUUUGGGUUCGAAUAAAAGCCCACCCAUUGAAGAGCAAAGUAUCAACUGCUCCAAUUACAUUUACAAAUCCUACUCCCCCAAAGUUAAAAUAGUAAUUGCCUGAGCGCAUCGGAACAAUGUGUGUGCGUUUAAGACAUCCCCUUUAGUUUUUAGAGUGAACAUAGAGAAUGGUGGUGAAGAAUCUUACAAGAGAAGUCGGCACAUAGCCGGAGAAGAAAGGAUGACUAGUGAUAGCACACAAUCAUCAGCAUGUUAAGAGAUACUCUCUCGGACAACCCGAGGACGUGGAGACGGACAGAAAACAAACUGGUAACUGAACAAGACUAGACAAUGGACGACAUAUACAGAACACAGGACGCUUUUUACGAAUGAAAGUUGUGUGUGUGUGUUGACGACAAGUGAACUAACGCCGCCAGUUAUGGGAUAUAGCCAAUCAAUAUGAGAAUAAAGUGUUUGUAGCGUGUGUGCGUGUGUGUGCGCGCCUGUGUGUACUGAUCUGUGAUGCAAUUGCCUUUGAAGCUUAACUUCACAACACCCAGAGCAAUUGGUUUGAGAAGUUUAUCGAGCUCUUCCAACGUUACAAAAAUAAAUAGGAAUGCUUCGAUUCGUUCAUUGAAGUGUGGUUUUGGACACCCACCCAAAACGUAACACCGGAACCACGGCCGGCAAGAUCACUCGAAUGCAGUGGACGGCAUGGAAUCGUCUCCAUCGUCUCCUGCAAUUGAACGGAUUGUGAAAACAUUCCUAUUACGUACCGGGAAUGGUAGCUCUUCCACCAUUUUGUUUGUGUUUAUCGCAAUAACUAAUGUAUUUGCUUUUUUAUUUUUUCCCCUUUAUCCCUCCCUAUAUUACGCUUACCCCAAAAAAUGCUUCAACUCUGACUCUACUGCUGCUGCUGCUGUACUCCUUUCGCGCAUUUAAACCUUCCGCCCUAACAAUACGCCUGCCUGUGUGUGCGUGUGCGUGUGAUUGUUUUUGUUCUGCAUCAAUAUUAACACCCCUCUGUAACAACCUGGAUGUUGCCACCAAACGCCUGGCCAUUAAAUGGACACAUUUACCUGACCGGACCGGAACACGCACACAAACCACUACACCUCUGGAGUAGGGCAAGCCCCAAGAAGCGUUAGCCAUCUUUGAUCGUAUUAUCCUGGGCAAGCCAAAGUCUAUUGCGGCGUUAGUCGGACGAGCACGAUGCUUGGAUGCGCUGGCAGAACAGCGGCGUAGUAACGCGAUCCUUACCGAAGCGAUCACCGCCUACCGGAAGGUGAUCGAGCAAGAACUUGCGGUGGACGAUGCAACGUUUAAGGCUGUCGCGGAACGAUGCAUCGAUCGUAUGCGCUUUCAGGGACAGCAUGCGAAGGCGAUCGACGUGCACAAGGCGCUGAUUCGACGAUUCGACAACGAACCGCAGUAUCGGAAUCAGCUCGCCGUUAGCUAUCUCUACAUGAACAGACUUGCCGAAGCGAAAGCCGUUCUCCACGAAACUCUUCUUCGCUGGAUCGACGAUGGAUUCGCGCUGGUACACUACGGAUUCGUGCUGAAAACGCUCGAUCAAAACAUGGAACUUGCUGCCCAAUAUCUCCAGGAGGGGAUCGAAACCGAACACCCAGGCACACAGGAUGGACGGUUCUACUUCCAGCUUGGUGACGCUUUGCAACGCCUGGGGCGCAACGGUGAAGCGCUAAACGUCUACCGCAAAGGAGUCCAAAAGAAGCUGUUCCUUUCGCUCUACCAACGCUCCCUGUACAAUGUGGAAGGAUUGCGAUCGCGCCCUUUCUGGACGGAGGAGCAAACGACCUACACAACCGAGCUGGAGCUGAUCCGUGCCCAAUGGCAACAGGUACGAGACGAAGGUCUGAAGCUGCUGAACAGUGCCGGUGUGUUUGUGAACGAGUCGGAAAAUCUGCGCGAUCGGGGAGAUUGGAAGCAGCUGGAACUGUUUUCCCGUGGUACCCGGGUGGAGCGUAACUGUGCUCGUGCACCGCUAACAUGUCGGCUGGUGGAGCAAUACUUCCCCGCAGCCCGUACAUGCAAGCGCGGUCAGGUGAAGUUUAGCGUGAUGCAUCCCGGGACGCACGUGUGGCCCCACUGUGGUCCAACGAACUGUCGCAUACGAGCGCAUUUGGGGCUGAGUGUGCCACAGGGUACUUACAUACGGGUGGCUGAAGAAACACGAUCCUGGGAGAACGGCAAAUGGUUAAUAUUUGACGAUAGCUUCGAGCACGAGGUGUGGCACAACGGGACGGAAACGCGUUUGGUGCUGAUUGUGGACUUUUGGCAUCCGGAGCUUACGGAAAGCCAGCGGCGCACACUGUCCCCUAUCUAGGUUCGGCUGGCUUAUCUAGUAACCAGUAUCGAGAAUUUGCAUUUGUACCCUUAUUUCACAGCUAGAGCGUGUGUUUUACUUCUCUGUUUUUUAUGUUUAUUUUACAGUAAAGACAAUUUAGUGCCUUUAUGCAACUUUGUGAGUGAGUUUUGCAUUAGUGUAGGAUGAUAAUGUAGGGACGAAAAUGGAUAAAUUACUCAAAAAAAAUCUGUUCUCGAAUCACACGCGUGUUUACAACCAAAGUUAAGUAGCGAACCGUUUGUUACCUACCGGAGCUAGCCUACUGCGUUUUACGGGUUAUCGAGGGUGUUAUUUUGUACAGGAGCAGAAAACAGGGGAGCCUUAUAAAGACGAACAAAAAUACAGCAUACGUUUAGGAAGGACUGAAUGACUGAAGGACUGGUAGGACAAGAAACGGAAUAAGUGAGAGAGUGUGUUUGUAGGAAGGUCUUGGAAAUAGUUUCCUUUGGUGAAAUUUUCAUUACAAUCGGGAGAGAUAAGGUCAGGAAAAAUCAGGACAAUUGCGUGAAACAAUUUUGUUAGUGAGAAACACCCUUCCAAGCAUUGGGAGGUGAAUAAAAAAACGAUUAAAAUCAAA